This 311-nucleotide ribosomal RNA is filed under the name uncultured eukaryote. RNAcentral describes it as "partial 18S ribosomal RNA". It matches the Rfam family "Eukaryotic small subunit ribosomal RNA", at positions 1470 to 1796 of the family's 1831-position model. The record is from RNAcentral.
CCCCUAGACGUUCUGGGCUGCACGCGCGCUACAAUAAUACGCACAGCGAGUAUCACCGAGCUCGAAAGGACAAGGUAAACAAUAGAAAAGGUACUGUAAUGGUUAUAGAUCCUUGUAAUUAUUGAUCUUCAACGAGGAAUUCCUAGUAAGUAUGUGUCAUCAUCACGCACUGAUUACGUCCCUGCCCUUUGUACACACCGCCCGUCGCUCCUACCGAUUGGGUGAGCCGAUGAAACUCUCGGAUGUAGGCUAUUCAUAGCCCGCAGAAGAGAUUUGAAUCGUAGCGCUUAGAGGAAGGAGAAGUCGUAACA